AUUACCCAAUCCUGACACAGGGAGGUAGUGACAGUAAAUAACGAUGCGGGGCCGUGAGGCUUUGUAAUUGGAAUGAGAGGAGGAUAAAGAGAAGGUCGAGUAACGAUUGGAGGGCAAGUCUGGUGCCAGCAGCCGCGGUAAUUCCAGCUCCAAUAGCGUAUAUUAAAGUUGUUGCAGUUAAAACGCUCGUAGUCGGGUGAUUGGGCUUGGUUGCCUGGUUGGACGAAAGUCCAUACUGGACAGCCGGCCUAUUGGAGAUGGAUGGAGUGUAAUGCUCCAACACCAUCCUUUGUUACUGUGAGGAAAUUAGAGUGUUUAAGGCAGGCAGUUGCUUGAAUACGUUAGCAUGGAAUAACAAGACAGGGAUGCUUGGUCUUGUUGGUUUGACGAAACAUCAGAUUGAUAGGGCCAGUCGGGGGCAUUGGUAUUUGGCAGUCAGAGGUGAAAUUCUUGGAUUUGCCAAAGACCAGCGGGGGCGAAAGCAGUUGCCAAGGAUGGUUUCGUUGAUCAAGAACGAAAGUUAGGGGAUCGAAGACGAUCAGAUACCGUCGUAGUCUUGACUAUAAACGAUGCCGGCAGGGGAUUGGAUAGGAGCAGUAUUGCUUUAUCCAGCACCCAGGGAGAAAUCGUAGCGUUUGGGUUCUGGGGGGAGUAUGGUCGCAAGGCAGAAACUUAAAGGAAUUGACGGAAGGGCACCACCAGGAGUGGAGCCUGCAGCUUAAUUUGACUCAACACGGGAAAACUCACCAGGUCCGGACAUGGGAAGGAUUGACAGAUUGAGAGCGCUUUCAAGAUUCUGUGGGAGGUGGUGCAUGGCCGUUCUUAGUUGGUGGAGUGAUUUGUCUGGUUAAUUCUGAUAACGGGCGAGAUUCUCAUGGGUUGUUGGGUUGUAGUGGGAGACCAGUGCAAGCCGCCAACCCAGACACCCGGUGCGAAGCCGGGGGAAGCAGAGAGCAAUAACAGGUCCGUGAUGCCCAAUCACUAGU
This 986-nucleotide ribosomal RNA is filed under the name uncultured eukaryote. RNAcentral describes it as "bacterial SSU rRNA". It matches the Rfam family "Eukaryotic small subunit ribosomal RNA", at positions 440 to 1480 of the family's 1831-position model. The record is from RNAcentral.